GAUGAACGCUGGCGGCGUGCCUAAUACAUGCAAGUCGAGCGAACAGACGAGGAGCUUGCUCCUCUGACGUUAGCGGCGGACGGGUGAGUAACACGUGGAUAACCUACCUAUAAGACUGGGAUAACUUCGGGAAACCGGAGCUAAUACCGGAUAAUAUAUUGAACCUCAUGGUUCAAUAGUGAAAGACGGUUUUGCUGUCACUUAUAGAUGGAUCCGCGCCGCAUUAGCUAGUUGGUAAGGUAACGGCUUACCAAGGCAACGAUGCGUAGCCGACCUGAGCGGGUGAUCGGCCACACUGGAACUGAGACACGGUCCAGACUCCUACGGGAGGCAGCAGUAGGGAAUCUUCCGCAAUGGGCGAAAGCCUGACGGAGCAACGCCGCGUGAGUGAUGAAGGUCUUCGGAUCGUAAAACUCUGUUAUUAGGGAAGAACAAAUGUGUAAGUAACUAUGCACGUCUUGACGGUACCUAAUCAGAAAGCCACGGCUAACUACGUG
Molecule: ribosomal RNA, 497 nt
Filed under: uncultured bacterium
Lineage: Bacteria
Description: partial 16S ribosomal RNA
Rfam family: Bacterial small subunit ribosomal RNA
Source: RNAcentral